GAUGAACGCUGGCGGCGUGCCUAAUACAUGCAAGUCGAGCGAACAGACGAGGAGCUUGCUCCUCUGACGUUAGCGGCGGACGGGUGAGUAACACGUGGAUAACCUACCUAUAAGACUGGGAUAACUUCGGGAAACCGUAGCUAAUACCGGAUAAUAUAUUGAACCGCAUGGUUCAAUAGUGAAAGACGGUUUUGCUGUCACUUAUAGAUGGAUCCGCGCCGCAUUAGCUAGUUGGUAAGGUAACGGCUUACCAAGGCAACGAUGCGUAGCCGACCUGAGAGAGUGAGCGCGCCCACUGUGACAGAGACACAGGGCACACACCUACACGGGGCGGCGCUAGGGGAAAUUUCGCAAAAGGGGAAAAAGUUACGGAGAAAAACGCCGCGAGAGAGAUGAGGCUUCUGGUAUCGAAACACUGUGUUAUUAGAGAAAAACAAAUGUAAAAGUCACUAUACACGUCUAGAGGGCACAAAAAGAGAAAGCCAGGGAAAACUACG
This 497-nucleotide ribosomal RNA is filed under the name uncultured bacterium. Its description in RNAcentral is "partial 16S ribosomal RNA". It matches the Rfam family "Bacterial small subunit ribosomal RNA", at positions 28 to 505 of the family's 1533-position model. The record is from RNAcentral.